This 253-nucleotide ribosomal RNA is filed under the name uncultured bacterium. RNAcentral describes it as "partial 16S ribosomal RNA". It matches the Rfam family "Bacterial small subunit ribosomal RNA", at positions 524 to 776 of the family's 1533-position model. The record is from RNAcentral.
UACGUAGGGGGCAAGCGUUGUCCGGAUUUAUUGGGCGUAAAGAGCGUGUAGGCGGCCUGGUAGGUCAGCUGUGAAAACUCGAGGCUCAACCUCGAGACGCCGGUUGAAACCAUCAGGCUAGAGUCCGGAAGAGGAGAGUGGAAUUCCCGGUGUAGCGGUGAAAUGCGCAGAUAUCAGGAAGAACACCCGUGGCUAAGGCGGCUCUCUAGUACGGUACUGACGCUGAGACGCGAAAGCGUGGGGAGCGAACAGG